GCCUGGGUGGCUCAGUCGGUUAAGCAUCUGACUUCUGCUCAGAUCAUGAUCUCGCAGUUUGUGAGUUCGAGCCCCGCAUCGGGCU
RNAcentral lists this transfer RNA (85 nucleotides) under Felis catus (domestic cat). It matches the Rfam family "tRNA". Rfam says of the family: Transfer RNA (tRNA) molecules are approximately 80 nucleotides in length. Their secondary structure includes four short double-helical elements and three loops (D, anti-codon, and T loops). Lineage: Eukaryota; Metazoa; Chordata; Mammalia; Carnivora; Felidae. RNAcentral also lists the same sequence under 1 other name. The record is from Rfam by way of RNAcentral.